RNAcentral lists this transfer RNA (73 nucleotides) under Chloroherpeton thalassium ATCC 35110. RNAcentral's name for it is "tRNA-Lys (TTT) (tRNA-Lys-TTT-1-1)". It matches the Rfam family "tRNA". From Rfam's summary of the family: Transfer RNA (tRNA) molecules are approximately 80 nucleotides in length. Their secondary structure includes four short double-helical elements and three loops (D, anti-codon, and T loops). Further hydrogen bonds mediate the characteristic L-shaped molecular structure. tRNAs have two regions of fundamental functional importance: the anti-codon, which is responsible for specific mRNA codon recognition, and the 3' end, to which the tRNAs corresponding amino acid is attached (by aminoacyl-tRNA synthetases). tRNAs cope with the degeneracy of the genetic code in two manners: having more than one tRNA (with a specific anti-codon) for a particular amino acid; and 'wobble' base-pairing, i.e. permitting non-standard base-pairing at the 3rd anti-codon position. The record is from Rfam by way of RNAcentral. Lineage: Bacteria; Pseudomonadati; Chlorobiota; Chlorobiia; Chlorobiales; Chloroherpetonaceae.
GAGAAUAUAGCUCAGUAGGUAGAGCAACUGCCUUUUAAGCAGUGGGUCGGUGGUUCGAGUCCACCUAUUCUCA